This 1297-nucleotide ribosomal RNA is filed under the name human oral metagenome. RNAcentral's name for it is "bacterial LSU rRNA". It matches the Rfam family "Bacterial large subunit ribosomal RNA", at positions 1392 to 2567 of the family's 2925-position model. The record is from RNAcentral.
UAAGGCGAGGCCGACAGGCGUAGUCGAUGGAUGACGGGUUGAUAUUCCCGUACCCGUGUGCGUGCGACAAGUGAUGAAUCUUAUGGUACUAACCGCCCGCCUACGUGCACCGGUCUUUUUGGUUGGUGUGUGUGGGUGCGUGGGAUCUUCGUGGGUAGUAGUCAAGUGAUGGGGUGACGCAGAGUGGUAGCUAGGCUUCCUUAUUGGAUUGGAGUGCAAGCGUGUGGCCUGUGGGGUUGGGAAAUCCGCCCCACAUAUCAGGUGAGGCGUGAUGCGGACACCAUGUUGUGGUGGUAGUUAGUGUGCCUGUGCUGUCUAGAAAAGCCUCUAGCGAGUGCGUGCAUGGCCCGUACCGGAAACCGACACAGGUGGUCAGGUAGAGAAUACUAAGGCGUUCGGGUGAACUGUGGUUAAGGAACUCGGCAAAAUGCCCCCGUAACUUCGGGAGAAGGGGGACCAUUACUAGUUGCUGACAGCAAGAUGGCUGGUGGUGGUCGCAGAGGAGAGAGGGAAGCGACUGUUUAUUAAAAACACAGGUCCGUGCGAAAACGUGGAAGUUGAGGUAUACGGACUGACGCCUGCCCGGUGCUGGAAGGUUAAGAGGACCCGUGAGCAUACCUAUGGUGUGCGAGGCGGAGAAUUGAAGCCCCAGUAAACGGCGGUGGUAACUAUAACCAUCCUAAGGUAGCGAAAUUCCUUGUCGGGUAAGUUCCGACCUGCACGAAUGGCGUAACGACUUCCCUGCUGUCUCAACCACAGGCCCGGUGAAAUUGCAGUACGAGUAAAGAUGCUCGUUUCGCGCGGCAGGACGAAAAGACCCCGGGACCUUUACUAUAGCUUGGUAUUGGUGUUUGGUCAUGCUUGUGUAGGAUAGGUGGGAGACUGUGAAGCCGCAACGCUAGUUGUGGUGGAGUCGUCAAGUGAAAUACCACUCUGGUGUGAUUGGGUACCUGAACCUUGGCCCGUGAUCCGGGUUGGGGACAGUGCCUGGUGGGUAGUUUAACUGGGGCGGUUGCCUCCUAAAUGGUAACGGAGGCGCCCAAAGGUUUCCUCAGUCUGGUUGGCAAUCAGAUGGUGAGUGUAAGUGUAUAAGGGAGCUUGACUGUGACACUGACGGGUGGAGCAGGUGCGAAAGCAGGGACUAGUGAUCCGGCAUCUACGUGUGGUUGUGGUGUCGCUCAACGGAUAAAAGGUACCCCGGGGAUAACAGGCUGAUCUUCCCCAAGAGUUCAUAUCGACGGGAUGGUUUGGCACCUCGAUGUCGGCUCGUCGCAUCCUGGGGCUGGAGUAGGUCCCA